This 46-nucleotide non-coding RNA is filed under the name Schistosoma haematobium. The record is from RNAcentral. Lineage: Eukaryota; Metazoa; Platyhelminthes; Trematoda; Strigeidida; Schistosomatidae.
GCACUGUUGAAGAGUCCCAUACUAGGACGAAACGGCCGUUCAAUGC